RNAcentral lists this long non-coding RNA (1446 nucleotides) under Scleropages formosus (Asian bonytongue). Its description in RNAcentral is "lncRNA (ENSSFOG00015029274.1)". The record is from RNAcentral. Lineage: Eukaryota; Metazoa; Chordata; Actinopteri; Osteoglossiformes; Osteoglossidae.
GUCCCGAAUUCCUCGACAGCCACGCCAGUUUUCUCGGUUGCUAAAAACUUCUAUUGACACCAUGAGUACAUUAAACACACAACAACAACAGCCAUACAUUCAUUCAAUAAUACACAGAACUUUAGGUACUUCAUCUCCCCCGUAAUUCACAACAUGGUCUGGUCUACGGAUCCGGGGUAUAAAGGACCGAAUUUCCUCUCAGGCCCGUUUGCUUCCCUCGCACUGCUUUCGGGGUAGGUAGGAGCACUUGCGCUUCACAAACUUUAUUUUCACGACAUUUAUGAUGCCCUUUAUUCAUGCGUCUGGCAACGCUGUAUCUGUUUCAUGUAUGGUUUUCAUCAUGUGGCUCAUAUUUCUAAAGCAAGUCGACAUUUCCAGUUUCCUUUUGCUUUUUGGUCUUCAAAUCAAAACAACUUGACGUCCUGCUGUUCGUAGUAGUCAGUGCUUGUGUGCCGUUAAAAAAAUGUAAAGUAAAAAAAAAAAAAUUAAUAUCUAUUCUAUUGAGGAAUCCCAGUAGCUGUGGUAUUUUUACUUGCAUGAUUUAAAUGAACUUGUGUUGAAAGUAACAGACCUGAGUUACUCGACACUGACUCAGUCACUGAGUGUCACACAAAAAAAAUGAACUUCAAGUUAAUCUGUAAUUUUUGACCCCUGAACAUCACAAAACGGAGAAUUAAUGUUCCACAGUGACAGCCGUAGAGAGCAGCCUGUGAUUGCGUGAACGUUCAUUAAUAUUCAUGUUUUUUGGCAGGAGACAGGUGACUUUUUUGAGUGGUAAAUUAUCACAGUUUCCCUUAUUAUUAAUGAAACUGUAACUCUCAGGACGGGCACUCUGUUAAUAAUAUUGUUCUCAAACUGGAGAUCUGCAAUGUGACGGACGAGGACAAGGAUGGGGACCGCUGUGGUGACGCUUCCCUCUGCAAAGUGGGGACAGGAUGAUGUCGAAGUGAAACCCUCACCAUGUAGUCCAGCAGUGAACCGCAACACCUUUCUACUCGUCCCAAGGAACUUGCAGAGACACAAAGGCUGUGUGAAAGAGGAGUAAGAGGAUGAGGAUGCUCUGCACCUUCACCAUGUUGUCCCUGUGGUUGGGAAAGAGAACAGCUGGAGCUCAGACUCUGCGGUGAACUGGGCUCAAUCUGCAGGUACCACAGUAGCAAGGAUAUUAACCUAAUGUGAGACGUGUGAACAGCUCAUCUCGACGUUUCAGCUCGUCGAGGUCGUAACAGAUUCCUGGUGACCUUAAGUGUUGCAGAAGGAAGUAAAAUUACUAUCUUUACAUGCAUCUCUGCCCAGAUUCCAGUGAAAUUGGGGCCUUACCCCUGUGGAGGAGAAGGAGGUGAACAGGAAAGGUGUGUGAACAGACCCAUGUUUACAGUAAGGUGUUUCACUAAGACACCUGGGCCAAAGGGCACCGCUGAAUAAAGAAUUUUAGUAGUAAUUCCA